Molecule: non-coding RNA, 80 nt
Filed under: Porphyromonas gingivalis
Lineage: Bacteria; Pseudomonadati; Bacteroidota; Bacteroidia; Bacteroidales; Porphyromonadaceae
Also listed under: 1 other name
Source: RNAcentral
AUGAACCGGAUCUGAGGGAAACUAUCCAAAAGUUUCUCCUCGGGGAAAGGUACAUCGUAGAGACAGCUGCAACGAUGAAC